CCUACGGGGGGCAGCAGUGAGGAAUAUUGGUCAAUGGACGAGAGUCUGAACCAGCCAAGUAGCGUGAAGGAUGACUGCCCUAUGGGUUGUAAACUUCUUUUAUAUGGGAAUAAAAUGUUCCACGUGUGGGAUUUUGUAUGUACCAUAUGAAUAAGGAUCGGCUAACUCCGUGCCAGCAGCCGCGGUAAUACGGAGGAUCCGAGCGUUAUCCGGAUUUAUUGGGUUUAAAGGGAGCGUAGGUGGAUUGUUAAGUCAGUUGUGAAAGUUUGCGGCUCAACCGUAAAAUUGCAGUUGAAACUGGCAGUCUUGAGUACAGUAGAGGUGGGCGGAAGUCGGGGUGUAGCGGUGAAAUGCUUAGAUAUCACGAAGAACUCCGAUUGCGAAGGCAGUUCACUGGACUGCAACUGACACUGAGGCUCGAAAGUGUGGGUAUCAAACAGGAUUAGAUACCCUGGUAGUC
RNAcentral lists this ribosomal RNA (460 nucleotides) under uncultured bacterium. RNAcentral describes it as "partial 16S ribosomal RNA". It matches the Rfam family "Bacterial small subunit ribosomal RNA", at positions 338 to 795 of the family's 1533-position model. The record is from RNAcentral.